Molecule: ribosomal RNA, 345 nt
Filed under: Cyparium concolor
Lineage: Eukaryota; Metazoa; Arthropoda; Insecta; Coleoptera; Staphylinidae
Description: partial 12S ribosomal RNA
Source: RNAcentral
UUAAUUAGUAUUAGUUUAAUUCUUGAAAAUUAAAGAUUUUGGCGGUAUUUUAGUCUUUUCAGAGGAACCUGUUCUAUAAUUGAUAUUCCACGUUAAAUUGAACUUAUUUUAAUUAGUUUGUAUAUCGUUGUAGUUGAAUAUUUUAGAAGAAUUUAAAUAUUCAAAAUUUUUUAUUAAAAAAAAAAUCAAAUCAAGGUGCAGCUUAUAAAUAAGAAGAAAUGGGUUACAUUAAAUUAAUUUAAAUGGUAUAAAAAUUGAAAAAUUUUUGUUAAAGUGGAUUUGAAAGUAAUAAAAUUAAUUUUAAUUUUAUGAUUUUAGCUCUAAAAUAUGCACACAUCGCCCGUC